ACCUGCAUUGAUAGUGAUCUUGGUAUCCUCGUUGCCUGGUCAUCAGAACUGCAGGAAAAGUAACCUGAAAGCAUUUCCCGUGUUUGAGUGGGACUAAUAUAACCCUGUCAAACCUCGUAGCUUUCAGACA
Erpetoichthys calabaricus (reedfish) is the source of this 130-nucleotide small nucleolar RNA. Its record names the gene SNORA71. It matches the Rfam family "Small nucleolar RNA SNORA71". Rfam says of the family: The members of this family belong to the H/ACA class of snoRNAs which bind a number of proteins (including dyskerin, Gar1p and Nop10p) to form snoRNP complexes. NCBI's taxonomy places the organism in Eukaryota, Metazoa, Chordata, Cladistia, Polypteriformes, Polypteridae. The record is from Ensembl.